Asterias rubens (European starfish) is the source of this 5491-nucleotide long non-coding RNA. RefSeq lists it as uncharacterized. The record is from RefSeq and is a predicted model, not a curated record. The transcript is spliced from 6 exons. NCBI's taxonomy places the organism in Eukaryota, Metazoa, Echinodermata, Asteroidea, Forcipulatida, Asteriidae.
GUGUCGCGCUGGAGGAUGGUCGUAUCUCUCAGCCCAACUUAGAGUCUUGGACGUCGCGUUUUCCUGUUGAACUUUUUAUCAAACAUGCUCACCAGAACUCAGUAAUGUUCAUUCAGAACUAUUUCGUCGAAACUAUUGCACGUUUUAAAAGGUGCUCCUAUCUUUGUACCGACGAGUCUCAAGAGAAUGCGCCCAGGUGUCGGAUGUUAUCUGUGGAUAUGUGGUUUGUGGACGUAACAUAGGAGUCCUCGCUGGAGUCAUCGCCGGAUUCAGGUAAGGAAAACUUGGCAUCAUCCGACCUCCACGGUUUUUUUUUUUGCGAUUAAAUUCUUUGAUGAAUGUUGCCCUUUAUCCUUAAAAAGCCUUAAUUGCUUUUGUAUCUCUUAAAGGGCAGCAAACACGGGGGCCUACUGCAACUUUGUAAAGAAAAUAAACUGAAUUAUUUGAUAGAUCUAUGCUGCCCUUUAACCUUAAAGGCCUUAAUUGCCUUGUUUAUCUUUUAAAGGGCAGCAAACACUCUGAUAAGAACUAUGGAGACGCAUUGCAACUUUUCAAAGAAACCCCCCCCCCCAAAAAAAAAAAAAAAAAAAAAAAACAAUCGAGUAAGAUUUAUGAAGGCGUUCUGCAACUUUUCAAAGAAAAAAAAAUGCAUUUUUAAAUUGAUGCACUUCUUGAAAAAAAAUUAAGUGUUUUUCCAGUGAUUUAACAAUAAUUGAAUUGAACUGAAUGAAAAUAAGACUCCUUUUGAUGGUUCUUAGAAGAAAAGAAAGGGUUCUCUAAAAAAAAAAGGGGGGGACCUUUACUAAUGAAGCGCAAUAGUGUGGAGGUCGGAUUACGCAAGUUGUCUUAAAUCAAGAUCAAGACAAGACGAAGACUUCAAAGUGUAAGAGGAGAUCUAACCCGUUCUCUUGCAGAGUCCCACCCCUUGUACCGCCCCUUCCCCUCCAAGAUGCUCCACAAUCUUGUUGAUGUUGUCCUUGCUUGUAGAGCUUUCAAGGUAAAAUCACAUUUUCCUGGCAUUUCUUGAGUUGCAUAUUGGUCGAAGCCAGUGAUGCUUUUUAAUUAGGAGGCUAGUCUAACUGGAAACUUCUGUCGGGUUGAUACUUCAAGUCGUCAGUUGUCAUGUUUUUAUUAAUGAAAUUGUCAUGAUUUUAUGUUUUCAAAAUCUAACAAAAUCAAAGUCAUUUACCUAAUUCGUUACAAAUGUCAAUAAUUCUUAAUAAUAAAAAAAAAUAGGAAAAAAUGUUUUUCACAAAGACAAAUUUCUGCAAUAAAGUCCCUUUUGAAACCAAACGCUUUGUAGUAUGGGCACAACAUUUUAUCCCACAACCAAAAGUGUAGAAGUAAUAAUUCACUCUAAUCAACAUUCAUUUUAUGAUUAAUGUUUGAUUAUUAAGGAGUUAGAAGUAAAUAAAGAAUUUAGACUUUCUAAAUGAAUAUUUACAUAUUCCUUAUACAGUAUCAGCAUGACAUCAUUUCUGAAUGUAGAAAUUUUCAAAUAAUUAAAUCGUACAAAAAAUCUUAAAAUAAUAACAGAUAACCGAUAAAGAACUUAGGUCAAUGGAUGAUUUAUGUUUGAUUUGAUGAAAGUUGUAAAUAAAGAAUUUAGUUCAACUAAAUGACUAUUUACAUAGUCUUAUGUAAAUGACAUCAUUCCUAAAUAAAGACAGUUCAAACUAAAAUCGUAUUUGAACGAGAAAACAAAACAAUGAUAAAAAAAAAUAAAGCUGUAACACUUGCUCAUUAAGAUCAAAUUUCAAAUGAAAAAAAUGAGGGAACUUUUGGCAAAAUAUUGAGUUCUUCAUGUCUACAAAAAAAAAAAAAAAAAAAAAAUCAGAGGUGGCGAGAGAAAAGAAAGGAUGGAUAAAAAAAGCAGCCAUGGGAGAAGGACUUCAGUGGUGUCUAGGUACGUAUGAAUGGUGAGUCAGUAUAAGGCCGUAUCCGAAUUGGCGGCUACGGCUACGGCUGGAUCGCCGCGUCAUCAUGCAUUGAAGUAUAAGACUCCCUUAGCAACUUCCCUGGCAACGGUCGUAGCCGCAGCCGUAGCCAUCAAUUCGGAUACGGCCUUAAGGCCUAGAGUAUCAGUGUUGGCCUAGAGAUAAGACUAACUCUCUACUCUUUCAGCAGGUUGGCUGGAGAUAGGUUAAGUAUAACCAUGGAGGAAGAAAAUAUUUUCUUCCUCCAUGGUAUUAGGAUGUGAAUAGUGUAGAACUUAGUUUCGUUUCAAGGAUCUCAAUCUUAUCUCAUUUUCGGCGACCUCAUUCAGAGACAAUAAAAACACGAUCCUAAACAAAACAAAAGAUAAUGCCUUGAACCAAAACUAAGAUCUAUGAGUAGAAGAUGGAGACUGUACUUCUUCGAUGUCCCUCAUGAGUGACAGGAGGUCAGCAAGGGGAAAAGGUUGGAGCAAGGUAUCAGGUAUAAGUAUUGGGUAAGUGCUCUCUAAAUGUAAAAGAGUGAAAAAAACUCCACUCUUUACAUUUUGAGUUGCCCCUCAUAUGGCUCUUUAAAAAGAGUGGUGGUUAUUUCACUCUGUAAAAGGGGUUUACCUCCAGCACAGAGUGAAAAAUCACUCAAAAAGAUGCAAACUUCAAUCUAAAAGAGUGGAAUACCAAUCAAGAAAGAGCUGUCCCUCAUGUGGCUCUUCGACUUGAGUGCUUUUUCACUGUUUUGCAUUUAGAGAGUGUGAAAGAAUAACUACUCUUUCCUCCACAGCUCUAACACUCUCUCCAUGCAAUGCCUUAAAUAACCAUAUAUUACCUUGUUUUUUGUUUUCACACAGCUGCAACAUGUUAUUGCUAAAGAUAAUGUUUUGGCAAGCGCAGAUGGCAGCUCUGGGACACCAUAGAUUACAUGGAUUUGGUAAAGUAUUGAGGGUUAUCUCAGGUAAUGUAUAGUGAACCUGAUUUGUGUUUUCAUCUUGAUGAUGAUGAAGUAGUUUCCAUUGAGCUUAGAUUACGCCCAUCCAGCUAUGGAGUCGUGCAAAAGAUUAAGAUCAAGUUAUAAAGUUACCAACUACUAGUGGGACAACGCGACCACACAAUUUUGAAUCACAAACAAAAUACAAUAGAGACAACAGGUGUUAGUUGCCAGACUAAAAGGAUGUGUCUUUUUAGCCUCUUUCUUUAAAGAGCAUUCCCCUACAAUGUGGGAAAAUCAACAAAGAUAUUUAGCAGAUCACAAGCAAGCCUUCAUCAAUGUGCUGAUUAAUAAUUGGAAAGGAAAAUUGAAACAUACACAAACAAAAUCAGACUUUGAACCUCUCAAUGGUUAUUUGUGAUCAGCAGUCAAUGUAUAACUUUUUUGUAACUGAUAUUAGAAGAGUUUACCAACAUUAAUCUUCGAAAACUAUAUGUUUGUUUCCAAAGAUUGAGAUAUGGCAUCACCCAAAGUUGAGGCUAUACUCUUGACGGUUUUUUGACUGUGCACCAUCAGCUGAGAAGGACUGUGUCAAGUCUAUCCAGAUGACUCUCUCUCUGCCCUACAAAGUCAACCGCCAUUCAAGUGACAGAGCGAUGUGGAGCUGACAUGAUGAUCUUGGGGACGACAUCUCGAGGCUAAUUAACACUCUUUGGACUACCACCUGAAGAAGGACUGUGUCAAGUCUAGCCACAUGACUCUCCGCUACAAGAUCAACAGUUACUGUUCGAGUGACGUAGCGAUGUUGAGGCUAACCAACACUUUUUGGGACUAAGGCAAAAAUACAACAGUUAACUUGACUGAGAUAAUGACCUUGAAGAUGACAUUAAGAGGACUGUGCCAAGUCUAGCCAGGUGACUCUCCGCUACUACAAGAUCAACCGAGUGACGUGGCAACGUUGAGGCUAACCAACACUUUUUUGGACUGAGGCAAAAAGACAACGGACAACUUGGCUGAGAUGAUGACCUUGAAGAUGACAUCUUGAGGCUAAUUAACACUCUUUGGACUUGACACCUGAAGGACAUUGUCAAGUCUAGCCAGAUGACUCUCCGCUACAAAAUCAACCGUUCAAGUGACAUUGACUUUAGCGAUGUUGGCUAACCACCACUUUUUUGGACUAGGGCAAAAAGACACCAGAGAACUUGAUUGAGUUGAUGGCUUUGGAGAUGACAUACACCCUAGCCAUUUUUGGACUGAUUGCCACCAGCUGAAGAAGGACUGUGCCAAGUUUAGCUACCUGACUCUACUACAAGUUCAAGAACCUUUCAUGGAGCGUAGAACUGCUGUGUGGAUAAAACCAACCUUUUGUGUUUUUGAACUGAACGUCUUGAGAACUGUGCCAUGGUUCAAGUGACCAAGAGACAAUAUUUAUAUGAUAGAACACUUCUCAGAGCAAACUCUCCUCUCAAAGGUGAUUUUACACCUGGUUUUGUACCAUGCAAGUUUACUAGAAUUGGUACUUAUUAUUUUAACCACUCUAUGCAAAGCUUUCAAAUGCUUUUUGGACUGCCAUCGUUGACUGAUGAAAGACUGUGAUCACCAAUCAACUGAAACAAGCAGGACCAAGAUGGGGCCCUCUAUGAUGACGCUCAAGGGGAGGACCACACACAUAAGAACCAGCAGCCCAAUAUCAUGGAGCUGCUUAAGCAAAACAAUUACUGCUGAUUAAUUGUCUGCUUAGCAGAAAUGAGCAGGAUACCAGUCAAAAGUUGUACGUGUGACAUGUUAGUUUGACUGGUACCCUUGUUUUGGUAAGCAACAUUUAGUUGUGCUUAGCUACUUUUUGUGCUUUUAGCAGCUUUAUGAAAUUGGGCCCUGCAUAGGGUAUGUCUGAAUGUGUAGCUGUGGAUAUGGUUGCAGCUAUUGCUAUGGGUCUCUUACCAUACUUGAAACAUAUUCAUGUGACUAACAAGCCGUAUCCACAGCCACUAUUUCAGAUACAUCCUUAUCUUUUUUUACUUAUAGGCUUUUCUUGGAAUCCAUCAAAAUCCAGUACCAUUAUUGUACAAGUAGCGAGUCAUGAUCAGUACUCGCAUUAAGUGAUGCUUGGUUUGAUAAAAACUGGCAGCGUGGCCUCAUGCCAAGCAUUGUUUGCUCAUCAUGGAAAAUCAAAUUCAGUAAAUCAAAGUACAAUACGCUUUGGAUUUUGAUGGAGUUAAAGUAGUUAGGAAUGCAAAAGAUGCUGUAGCUUUUGUAAAGAGAAUUAAACAAACAAAUUAUGUUGACAAAAGACAUCAGAAGCAACGCAACUUAUGAGCCGUGUAGUUGUACUUUUUGCCAAACCAUUUGUUAUUACAAAUGAGUGAAAAUGCCACGUGACAAACAUAAUUUGGUAACAGGGAAGACCCAUGGCAUUAACCACUAUUCUAUCUGCGCGUUCAAGAACAAGAAGUGUUUUUCAUUAAACAUGCAUUUUGUCCACUAGCUCUCAAAAAACAUCAUUACUAGAUAACUAAAUGUUUGUCAUCUUUAAUGUUGUGUUUUAAAUUACAGUUUGUUUGAAGUAAUUGUUUAUCUAUUUUAAUUAUUAUCUGUUGUUGAUGUUUUAGUUUUCUGAAGUAUUUUUACUGUA